AGGGUUCGAUCAUGGCUCAGAACGUACGCUGGCGGCACGCCUAACACAUGCAAGUCGAACGAAGUAGCAAUACUUAGCGGCAGACGGGUGAGUAACAUGUAGGUAUCUUCCCUUUGGCCUGGAAUAACACGAGGAAACUUGUGCUAAUACCGGAUAAGUCUUUACGGAGAAAGCUUUAUGCACCAUUGGAUGAGCCUGCACUUGAUUAGUUUGCUGGUGGGGUAAGGGCCUACCAAGACUUUGAUCAAUAGCUGAUUUGAGAGGAUGACCAGCCACAUUGGGACUGAGACACGGCCCAAACUCCUACGGGAGGCAGCAGUGGGGAAUCUUGCACAAUGGAGGAAACUCUGAUGCAGCGAUGCCGCGUGAGUGAAGAAGGCCCUUGGGUUGUGAAGCUCUUUCGUCGGGGAAGAAAAUGACUGUACCCGAAUAAGAAGGUCCGGCUAACUUCGUGCCAGCAGCCGCGGUAAUACGAAGGGACCUAGCGUAGUUCGGAAUUACUGGGCUUAAAGAGUUCGUAGGUGGUUGAAAAAGUUGGUGGUGAAAUCCCAGAGCUUAACCCUGGAACUGCCAUCAAAACUUUUCAGCUAGAGUUUGAUAGAGGAAAGCAGAAUUUCUAGUGUAGAGGUGAAAUUCGUAGAUAUUAGAAAGAAUACCAAUUGCGAAGGCAGCUUUCUGGAUCAUUACUGACACUGAGGAACGAAAGCAUGGGUAGCGAAGAGGAUUAGAUACCCUCGUAGUCCAUGCCGUAAACGAUGUGUGUUAGACGUUGGAAAUUUAUUUUCGGUGUCGCAGCGAAAGCGAUAAACACACCGCCUGGGGAGUACGACCGCAAGGUUAAAACUCAAAUGAAUUGACGGGGACCCGCACAAGUAGUGGAGCAUGUGGUUUAAUUCGAAGAUACGCGCAGAACCUUACCAACACUUGACAUGUUCGUCGCGACUUUAAGAGAUUAAAGUUUUCGGUUCGGCCGGACGAAACACAGGUGCUGCAUGGCUGUCGUCAGCUCGUGUCGUGAGAUGUUGGGUUAAGUCCCGCAACGAGCGCAACCCUCACUUUUAGUUGCCAUCAUUUAGUUGGGCACUCUGAAAGAACUGCCAGUGAUAAGCUGGAGGAAGGUGGGGAUGACGUCAAGUCCUCAUGGCCCUUACGUGUUGGCUACACACGUGCUACAAUGGUAUUUACAACAGGAAGCAAGACGGCGACGUUAAGCAAAUCCUUAAAAAAUACCUCAGUUCGGAUUGCACUCUGCAACUCGAGUGCAUGAAGCUGGAAUUACUAGUAAUCGUGGAUCAGCGUGCCACGGUGAAUGCGUUCCCGGGUCUUGUACACACCGCCCGUCACACCAUGGGAGUUGGUUCUACCUUAAGGCAAGGUUUAAUACCCUUGACCACGGUAUAGUCAGCGACUGGGGUGAAGUCGUAACAAGGUAGCCAAGGG
Molecule: ribosomal RNA, 1440 nt
Filed under: uncultured Candidatus Pelagibacter sp.
Lineage: Bacteria; Pseudomonadati; Pseudomonadota; Alphaproteobacteria; Candidatus Pelagibacterales; Candidatus Pelagibacteraceae
Description: bacterial SSU rRNA
Rfam family: Bacterial small subunit ribosomal RNA
Source: RNAcentral